Equus caballus (horse) is the source of this 6501-nucleotide non-coding RNA. The record is from RefSeq and is a predicted model, not a curated record. NCBI's taxonomy places the organism in Eukaryota, Metazoa, Chordata, Mammalia, Perissodactyla, Equidae.
GAUGUUAGCUCAGGGCCAGUCUUCCUCAAAAGAAAGAAAGAAAGAAAGAAAGAAACUUUAACUGUAUCUAUCACCUACAGGAUACUGUCCAGAUGCCUCAGCCUACCUUUCCCAAGUCUCUAGAAUCUAAUGUUAAUCUCAUUUGCAAUCUUACUUGCCGUAUCUUGCACUGCUUCUCUCUGCACUUCGAUACUUCGAUGCCAACCACACCAGCCCAUUUCUCCCCACAUGUGCUUCGUGCAUUUCUGCCUCCUCUCAAGCUCUGGACACAGCGGAAAUGCUGUCCCCGCUCCUUACUUUGCAUUGUCCAUCAUCUCCGGCUGGGCCUGUAUUCAGGGAGGCAGUAGAUACUCUACAAGAACACCCAGAAAGGCAGCCACUGCUGGUUUCGCCUCCGCCUCCUCUCUUAUCUGAUUGUAGCCGGAAGACCUCAAAUGUGCUAACUCCAAAGAGAUCUGAGAAUAGAGACCGGAUGAGGUGAGGAGGAACGAGAAGAUUAUUUUGAGGGGUGAAAGCCUUAAGAAAGGGAGAGGAAUGUCCUUAUAGUCACCAGCCGCUCAGGUGGGGUGGCUCCUUACCAAGUGUAACAGGACGUAUCAGGACAAGCCAUGACAGGAGGCGCCAAGAGAAGAAGCUCAUCCCCAUACUUAUACCAAAGCCACCCAAGAGAGGCAGGGAGCAGCCUGAAGGGGGCCGAGUCAAUGGAAGUAAGAGAACUCCAAGAGAAAGGAAAAAGGGGAGAUGGGCUAAGAGCUGAAUUCUGCACCUGCUGAGCAUUCUUCAAAGAGACUUUAAGUCCUGUCUUUAAACACACCCUCACCUUCAAUCACCAUCUUAACCAUUUAAUUAAUCUGUGCCUCAGUUUCCUCAGCUGUAAAGUGGGAACAAUAAUAUCUACACCACGGGGUUGUGAGAAUUUAAAGAAUUAAAAUGGGUAAAGCCCAUGGUAUCAGGUUCUGGUAUAAAGUUAUUACUGUUUAAGUGUUUGCUUUCCUCUGGGGAGACGAUACAGGUUAGUGGUUAAGGGCACAGAUUCUGGAUUCAACCUGAUUUGGUUUGAAACUUGGUUCUGCCAUGUACUAGUGUGACCUUGGGCAAGGACUUCUCUGGGCCCAUUUUUUCAUGUGUAGGGCCUUGUAAGAAUUAAAUAGGUUAACACACAAAAAGCACUGGAAACAGUCCUUAAUGCAUGUUGCCAGCUGUUAAUGCUCAUUAUCUGUCCCUUCCCCUCUUUGUUUACCCACUUGCGGCCCAUCAUUGAAUAUGGAACUUCUUGUCCAGUGAAAGCACGCCAGAGACAUCAAGAAGCUGUGCUCAGAGCCUCUUACUCCGAGCAGGUACCCUGCCAAGACUUACUUGGUCAGCACUCCCUGAGUGCACUGAACUUUCCCACAUAAAAUACAAUGGGGUUUGUGGGAACAGGUAACCCUGUUUCCCUUCCUGCCCUUGGAAGAUCAGGAAUAAUCACUUAGUUAACCCCCAUUCUGUUUUCAUGAGACCCACCUUUCUCCUAAGCAGAGGGGGAAACGGUUAAGUCAUAGAAGAUAUUUUGAAUUAAAUCAAGAAUAAAGCCACACAUUCACAUACCAAUUACUCAGGCUCAAGCUGCUGGGAGCUUUUCAAAGUCUCAAGGUCAAGAUUGAAAAUCGUGCUUUUAACUUGAAAAACAUCAAAGGUUAAUUGUGAAUCUAAAAUUUUAGAGCAUUCAGAACUGUUUUUAACUUGAUUUUAACGAAUAAAGCAUUUGUUCAUAAUGGCUUAAAUUUUUAAAAAAGAAAGAAAUCCAGUCGACCUUGCAAUACAGAAAAAAGAAUUCUUUGUUGCAUGGAAGAAAAAGUUGUAGCCUUUGUACUCCUAAGAAGUGUAUUUUUAAUAUGUAUUAGAGCACUCUUUUUUGGUACCUAAGAACAUAGGGUAUCCUAAAAAUCAAUAGCCAGGGGUUAGCACACUUUCUAUUAUGAUUUCCUUUCUAAACUGUCUCUCAGAAAAAUUGUGUUUGAAUACUGUAGUUUUUGCUUGUCGUCUUAUUUUGUUUUUGCAAUAAUCCUGCCCAACAUAUGUAGCAGACUUGGUAAAGCAAACAAAUCAAAACAAAUUGGAAACCUUAAGAAACUUGAUAAAAUUUUUUGUGAAGUCAAGAAGUGUGAUGCUAGCACCACCUAGUGUCUAUAUUGCGUAAUUGCCGCAAGUGAAAUUAUAAGAGGAAAAUAAUUAAUCCAAGGUACACAGCCAAUUUAGGUGAAAAUCCUGGAAUUAAAUCCACAUUGACUGAUAGCGCCCUGCUUUUUUUCUAUUGUUCUACACAAUCUUAUAAUAUCAAAGAAAGUAAAGAUUUAAAAAGUAAAUCCUUCCACUAACAGAAAUCCAAUUUAAGUGAAAAUUUUAUUAUAAAACAGGAAUAUUUGAAUGUCUAAUAUGUCUGAAGAACCACGAGAGCCUUCACAGAGCUGCCAAAGUCAAUUCCAUACACUCUACGGUGGGGCAAGACUGUUUGCAUAAUUUCUUGCUCUGAGAAGCACGGUUCCCCGAGGCCUCUGCAGCGAACCCCACCCAGGGCUUCCGGUGUUGCUGUGCCGUCAGUGUUGCCGUCAGUGUUGCCAUACAGUAUUCAACCUCUGGAAUACAUCUACAUGGAACAAAGGAGAUCAUCUCAUUCGCCUACGUGGCCCUACUUUUAAGAUAUUUAGUUACUUCAUGCCACAUUAUUUUUGUGUUUCCCACAGAAAGUCGAUGUGCCCUUUUCACAGGCAUGACCAGCCCCAGGACAAAUGUGAAAUGAGUCAAGUUUGGGUUUGAUGUCUCUGUUCUCUUCAGUUCAGCCUGUAUACCCUUUGCCUCACUUCCGGGUACUACCUCCCACCCAAAAAAGCCACCGGCUCCUCGCCAAUUUUCCAUUCCUCAGGGUCCUGCAAGUCAACGGCAAAUUAAAUGGUAAUUGUGCUCUCCACAUAAAAUCUUUUCUGGAAUAAAGUAAAAUGUGAAUGAAUGAAGGAGCAAAUGAAUGACUAAAUACUAAACAAACAAGUCAAAUUGCUUGUGCAAAAAUAUGAAUGCCUCACGAUGACUUAAGUGCUACUCUGCCUAUAUACGGCUUUUCAAUUUUCCCUAGGAGUUCUGAGUGGAACUCAGACAAAUUUAAUAAGACCUGUGGAUGAGAUGGUUUGGGGCAGAGGGCCCUUUUGGUGCAGAGGUGGUGCACAUCCUGGCUCAGAUCCCCAUCCCAGAUCACUGUUGUCACUUUCUUACUUGCCUGAAUUCCCAAAGGCACUCCCUGAAUCUAUAUCCUUCAUCUGUAAAGUGAGAAAUAUGAACAACUAUUUCCUAUGACUAUUAUUAUGAAGUUUCAAAAGGAUCUACUAUGGUACUUAGUAAUCACUAGUUACUCAAAGUAUGACCAUAAUAAUAAUAAUUACUGUUAUUACUGUUCCUAUUGAUGUGUGCUCAAUGUGAAAUUCAUUCGAGGAUUUUAGCAGGUGGCAACAAUACCUUCCCUAGCCCUUUGUUUGAGACAAUGCGUCCAUUUUUAAAUACCUGCAGAUUUUCAAUGUUCUGAGAGUUGUCAUCAAUAACUCCGAAAAAAAGUGGAACCCACUCUGAUUAAUCGGUCCUAGUUUUAGCUAAGGAGGUGCUGCUCAUGGAAAGAAAUGAGAGCAAAGGAAUAGAAGAAAAAUCUACUUUGGCAAAUAACAGAAAGGAAUCGACAGAUGUAGGACAUUCACCUUAAAGUCUCCACCAUCCUUUAUGCUCAGGCAAUUAAUAAUGAUAGUAGUAAUAGUUUUUGCUAUAUAUCAGGUACUUUCCUUAGCAAUGUACUCAUUUAAGUCUCAUAAUAAUUCACCAUUUUGCACACUGAAGAAGCUGAAGCACAGAGAGUAAAAUAACUUGACCAAAGUCUCGAGAACAAAUGGCAGAGCUGUCAUUUGAACUUGAGGUAUCCGCUUCCACAGAUAAGACAGCAGGCUCCGUGGUGGCCCUUCCUCUUUCUCUCUCUGCCUCUCCACCAUCAUCUGCCCCAGCCACCUGAGCUGGCAAAACUGAAGCGAAUGCACCAUUGCCUUUUGCAAGUAGGACGCCUCCCCUUGUGGUUGCUCACAUUCUAAGAAGAUUCAAACCUUUCCAGCCCAGAUCACGAAAAUAUCUCUUGGCACAUGACACAGAACAGUUUCCUUUUGUUCUUCUUUCUCCUCGUUCAUACAGAGUCAAGUUUCCGGAUAGCCACUUUAUAGCGUUAUCACCCCCUUUUGUCCUGGUUUGUCUGACAGUAUUAAUGAAGACUUUAUAGCUAUUGACUAAAGCAAGAGGCUUAUAAAAAGAAAAUGACAAAAAUGGGCAUGGAGACGUUCUUUACUGAGCUCCGACUAGGUAGCUUUGUUGAAAGUGUCUGCUUCCUAUGACAAAACACCAUAGCUUCCCCCAAAUAGCUUGAUUUUUUUAAAAACUUGGUAGGAGAAUUCAAUUUUGUCUUUAAACUACUACUGACCUUUCAUUAUUCUUUGUCUGGAUUCCUUCGCAGCAAAAAAAUCCUUUUGCUGGCAAAUACUCAACAAACCUGAUACCUUGGGUAACACAAAAUACUUAUAAAUAUGUAUACAAUGGGACAUUUAUGUGUGCAUUGUGAGGAAUAAGUGAUUUAGGAUAUACAUCACUCGGAAUAUGUCACCACUAGCAAUAAUGAAGAUGGACAUGGCUUCAUUUCUGGUCUUCUAAAUACCAUAUAACACUAUGACCCAAGAGCUAUAAUGCUUUUUUUCCUUCUACAUUUUUAUGGAACAAGUUAUUCAUUUAAACACUGGCUCAAAAUUCUGUUUCAUUGCAGUAACUGUCAUAAAACACUAGCGAGGUGACUCAUUGUUACAGGGUAAUACUCAUCACCUGUCAGCAGCUCAUUAGCAUGAAUGAGUUGGCACUAAUGUGGCAAUUACCAUGAAUUGUCAAUUGCUAUCCUUGUGUCUUCUCCCAGCACCAAGAAUCAGGGAUGUUUGUGAAAUCGCAGAAGAGGGCAGAAGAGAGUCAAAUUGACAAAUCCAGCUGCCCACCACCUCUACUACCAGCGAAUAAUGGCAAAAGCAUCUGGAAUAAAAAUGAUGAUGAUGAUGAUAGCUAAUAUUUAUUGAACAAUUGUUCUUUGCUAGGCACUAGUCAAGUGUUUUACAUAUACAAUCUCAUUUACUACUUCCACUUGCCCCAUAAAGUACAUACUAUUAUUAAUACCAUUCCACAGAGGGUAAAACAGACUUCGAGACAUGACGUAAAUUGCCCAAGAUCACACAGCUGGUGAGUAGGUCAUCUGAAUCCAAAAUCCACGUGGUUAACAGUUUAACUGUCUUCCAGGAUUUCUCAACCUCAGCUCUACUGACACACGUGGCCAGAUAACUCUUUGCUGUGAGGCUCUGCCCUGUAGGACUGCAGGAUGCUUAGCAGCUUAGCAGCAUCCCUGGCCUCUGCCCACUAGAUGCCAGUAGCGCCUUCUCUCCCCGGCCCCGUUCCCUAGUUGUGGUGGCCGAAAAUGUCUCCAGACAUUACCAAAUGUCCUCCAGGGGCCAAAAUUGCCACUACCCCCAAGCUGAAAACCACUGUUCUAUUCUAACCCCUCUUUAUACUGAUUAUAUAAUAUCAUGUCAUUAAAUAACUCUCAGAAAUAUAAUUGUAAUGGCUAUAAUACAUUUUAUUGAAUAUGAAAUUAGUGCUACACCUUAAGUGUUACUUUUGAUUAUUUUAUAAAGAAAAAUCUAUAUUUGAGAACUUAAAACAAUCAGGUGCUUUGGAAUCUAUCCCUUUGGUGUAUAUUAGACAUAAAAGUAAACGUUGUCAAUGAAAUAACAAGCAGGGGGUGUUUUAUGUUGCAGAGACAAUCACCUUCCUGCUUUCAAACGUGCUGCUAUUUUCACGUGGUCUACUUUAGAAGAUAAAAUGAAGGAGACUGUCAGCAACGAGUUUCUUAAACAGUGAAGAGUUUAUUUGAUUACUGUAUACAGACAUAGCCUAAGUCACAUCAAAGAAAAUAUAAUUGCAUGCAUAUAUAUCUGAAAAUGAAAACAGACUCAUUAGUCAAAUUUUUUUAAAUUCAGAAUUCUAUUAUUUUCUUAAAAUGUCUAAUAAAUCAAAAUUUACUAAAGCUUUGGUUUUGGUUUUGUUCCUUUUAAAAUACAUACUUCAAUAUAUAUUAAAAGCUAGUAUUUUGCUAUUCCUACUUAUAUCAUUCACUAAAUAUUUAGGUGCCUAUUCUCCUAUUUACCUCUUUAGGAAAGAUAUAAAAAUUAAGGUCUGCAUUCCUGAGGAAAUUAUUUUAGGGACAAGAUAUUUAUACACAAAAGCCCUAAGAAUAAGAACAGAUAGUGUAAAGCAACUAGUAAGGUGUUUUGUAUAAUUCACAUUAAAGAAAAACGUAUACAGACACUUACACACAUCAAAGUUAAGGAAGAUAGUGAAAUUCAUUUGAUAGGCAUGUCUAUAUAAACAAUUUGUUGCAAAUUUUGCAUUUGAAGAGUCCGCAUGAAAAAA